AGUCACUUCAAGUGACACCCGCCUUUGUGUUAGUCUGUGAAUUCAAUUCUGCUUUGUGAUUCUUGAAAGUUAAACAGCCAGUCCUCAGGACUUAUAUAUUCAUUUUAAAGGCAAUCUUAAAUAGAAGUGUAUCACACUGAAAAUUACCAUUUCCUUGGAGAUUGAUUCUGAAUGUUUAAAUUUCUGCAGUAACUUUAAUCUUAGUCUAGAUUUCAAGAGGCAUUCCCUGGCUAGGAAAGCCAAUACAAGUGGCUUUAUCGAUUAUUUUCAGGUAAUGGACUUCAGGACAAUAAAAUAAUUCCAUUAAAGCAAGUAGAAUUGACAGCGUAUUAAUUUAUUUUUACAGCAUUUAUUGAGAACUUUAUGCACAGCACUGAAUGAGAUUCUGUGUAAGGAUUCAAAGAUGAAAAAGAUGAAAUCACUGCUCCUAAGGAGUUUGUAAUUUAGCAUGCAGGCAGAAGACAAGAAUAUGAAUGUUUCUGGUUCAAGAUAGUGUUAAAUAAGUGCCAUGGGAGCUUCUAAGCUCCCAUGUGUGGUUCAAAGCAGAGAGAAAAAGAGUGCCCCAAGAAAGGCAUCAUGGAGGAUGGUCCCUAAAGACUUGGUAUGGUUAGGGUAGUAUGGCAGUCAAAGGAAGCCUUCCAAAUGAGGAAACAAACCAAGCAAAGGUUGAAAAGUGUGGCAGUCACUUAAUGGUUUUCAUCAACAGCACUUUGCACAUUUGUCUGUUAUUAGCAUUUAGCCCAUGAUGUUAUAAUAAUAUGUUUAAAUGUAUGUCUCUAUGACUAUUCAUUAAUUCAACAUAUAUUUCUAUUGUCAUAUGCUGUGCACUGUCCUAGGUGCUAGAGAUAUAGCAGUGACCAAAACAGAUUCCUGCCCUUAUGUAGCUUAUAUUCUAGUUGGGGGAAGACAGACAAUAUAAACACAAGUAAAUUAUAUAAUAUAUUCAAAGAGUACAGAGUAGGAAGUAAACUAAAUUAGGGUAAGGGAAUGGAGAAUGUUAGUGGGUCAGAUUUUAAAUUGCUUAAUCAGAACAGGUCUCACCACAAAGAUAGCAUCUGAACAAAGACAAAGGAAAUGAAGGAGCAAGCUAUAGGAAUAUCAAAAGGAAGAACAUUCUAGACUAAGAAAAGAGCAAGAACAAAGGCCAUAAAGCAAGAGAAUGCCACGUUGAGAAUUACCUGUAAAAAGACAAGGAUGAAAUUAGGGAGGCCAGUUAGGAGGUUGUUGUUAUAAGGGAGAAAUGCAGGUGACUUAGACCGGUCACCUGCAGGUUAUAAUAAAUUGUCUGAUUCUGUUUAUAUUCUGAAGGUAGAAACAGCAUAACUGCUGAGCAGUUGGAUGUGGAGUUUGGAAGAAGAUAAUGAGUCAGUGUGGGUGACUGCAAAGUCCUGGGCCUCAACCACUUGAAGGAUGUAUGGAGUGGUCAUUAACUGGGAGAGUGAAAAAUUAUGAGUAGGGCUGGUUUGGGUGAGGGAAAGAGACUUGAAGAUCAUGGAGUGAUCUAGAAGGCAAGGAAAAUGUUUUGUGUAUUCCUGUUUACAUCUCUGCCAGCAUUAUAAUUAGCCCAUAAUUGGCACUAAAAUUAUUGAAUAAAUCAAAGAAUAUAUAAGCUAAUCUUGUACCCUUCCAUAGAUCAAAGCAGUUUAAGGAUAAGUUUUCACAAUUUGAGUCACACACCUUUACCAAAAGUCCUUGAAAACUGUAUACAGGAAUACAUACUAGUUCAAGUAAAAAUUUC
This 1738-nucleotide long non-coding RNA is filed under the name Homo sapiens (human). RNAcentral describes it as "HSALNT0172402". Lineage: Eukaryota; Metazoa; Chordata; Mammalia; Primates; Hominidae. The record is from RNAcentral.